This 549-nucleotide long non-coding RNA is filed under the name Gossypium raimondii (Peruvian cotton). Its description in RNAcentral is "long non-coding RNA (GRAI_LNC010083)". The record is from RNAcentral. Lineage: Eukaryota; Viridiplantae; Streptophyta; Magnoliopsida; Malvales; Malvaceae.
CAAUUUCUGCCCGGGGCCCAAAUAACAAAACAAAAAUAAACCCAAAAUAAAAGGUCCAUUUACAAAUAAGCCCAAACCUAACCCUAAAGCCCAAAGAGCCCACAAAACUAAAAAAUUUUUGCAGCAAAAAAAACCUACCAGGAGCCUUUAGCGCCUCAUGCCCCUGCCCAAAGCCAUCAAGCCGCAAUCAACCUCUGGCCUCACAUGCGCGCCAUUGCCACUCGCGUGAGCCUCCGUACGCACAAGUCCAUUGCUUCGUACGACACCUGCAAAGGACAAAAACGAGCAACGCAACAGAAGCAGCAAAAAGAAAAAGAAAAUAAGAAAAAACAAAAAUACAUUUUUUUGUUUUGUAAUUUUCAUUUUAGUUUUGGCUAUAUAAAGCCAUUUUUCAGCGUUUUGUAAGGGAGACGAAGAUUGAAUGUAAAACCGCACAGGCACACUGAAAUACAAAAAAAUUGAAAAAAGAAAUAAGAAACCAGUUCGAAGAAGGUGAUUUUGAGUUUUUUCUUUCUCUCGCUUUUUUCAUUAGAGAUUCUUUGAUCUUUU